AGUUAAUGAGCUUGAUAUAAGCAUAUGUUUUGAAAACAUAAGAUAGGGCAUAAAAUCUCUAUUAACUU
RNAcentral lists this transfer RNA (68 nucleotides) under Rhamphomyia insignis. RNAcentral's name for it is "tRNA-Ser". It matches the Rfam family "tRNA". Rfam says of the family: Transfer RNA (tRNA) molecules are approximately 80 nucleotides in length. The record is from RNAcentral. Lineage: Eukaryota; Metazoa; Arthropoda; Insecta; Diptera; Empididae.